This 333-nucleotide ribosomal RNA is filed under the name Triticum aestivum (bread wheat). RNAcentral's name for it is "partial small subunit ribosomal RNA". Lineage: Eukaryota; Viridiplantae; Streptophyta; Magnoliopsida; Poales; Poaceae. The record is from RNAcentral.
AUGAUGGACAAAUACACGAUUCACAUCUACGCUCUAGGCUUGCUACUAUCUCUCCAUCUCCUAUGCUGCACGCCUACUGUGCAAUGUCGGAUCAUGGGCGAAGAAGACGUGGAUGAGAAGAUCAAUUUACCGUAUGGGCUUUGUGUCAACAAUAGACCAUGCAAAGCUGGAUGGGUCUGGUUGUGUUGUCUCCUCAAUCAAGAGUGCUAUCCGUCCAUGGAUGCGUGCAAGAAAGAUUGUCUGAAACCCUCUGCUGCUGACAUGGUGUCCAUGAAAAUGACCCGCUCUCCUUUACCCGCCUCCUCUCCCACGUCAUCAUUAGGUUCAAUUUGA